This 465-nucleotide ribosomal RNA is filed under the name Escherichia coli. RNAcentral describes it as "partial 23S ribosomal RNA". It matches the Rfam family "Bacterial large subunit ribosomal RNA", at positions 1291 to 1758 of the family's 2925-position model. Lineage: Bacteria; Pseudomonadati; Pseudomonadota; Gammaproteobacteria; Enterobacterales; Enterobacteriaceae. The record is from RNAcentral.
CGAAUGCUGACAUAAGUAACGAUAAAGCGGGUGAAAAGCCCGCUCGCCGGAAGACCAAGGGUUCCUGUCCAACGUUAAUCGGGGCAGGGUGAGUCGACCCCUAAGGCGAGGCCGAAAGGCGUAGUCGAUGGGAAACAGGUUAAUAUUCCUGUACUUGGUGUUACUGCGAAGGGGGGACGGAGAAGGCUAUGUUGGCCGGGCGACGGUUGUCCCGGUUUAAGCGUGUAGGCUGGUUUUCCAGGCAAAUCCGGAAAAUCAAGGCUGAGGCGUGAUGACGAGGCACUACGGUGCUGAAGCAACAAAUGCCCUGCUUCCAGGAAAAGCCUCUAAGCAUCAGGUAACAUCAAAUCGUACCCCAAACCGACACAGGUGGUCAGGUAGAGAAUACCAAGGCGCUUGAGAGAACUCGGGUGAAGGAACUAGGCAAAAUGGUGCCGUAACUUCGGGAGAAGGCACGCUGAUAUG